This 588-nucleotide ribosomal RNA is filed under the name uncultured Bacillus sp. Its description in RNAcentral is "bacterial SSU rRNA". It matches the Rfam family "Bacterial small subunit ribosomal RNA", at positions 338 to 918 of the family's 1533-position model. The record is from RNAcentral. Lineage: Bacteria; Bacillati; Bacillota; Bacilli; Caryophanales; Bacillaceae.
CCUACGGGAGGCAGCAGUAGGGAAUCUUCCGCAAUGGACGAAAGUCUGACGGAGCAACGCCGCGUGAGUGAUGAAGGCUUUCGGGUCGUAAAACUCUGUUGUUAGGGAAGAACAAGUACAAGAGUAACUGCUUGUACCUUGACGGUACCUAACCAGAAAGCCACGGCUAACUACGUGCCAGCAGCCGCGGUAAUACGUAGGUGGCAAGCGUCAUCCGGAAUUAUUGGGCGUAAAGCGCGCGCAGGCGGUUUCUUAAGUCUGAUGUGAAAGCCCACGGCUCAACCGUGGAGGGUCAUUGGAAACUGGGGAACUUGAGUGCAGAAGAGAAAAGCGGAAUUCCACGUGUAGCGGUGAAAUGCGUAGAGAUGUGGAGGAACACCAGUGGCGAAGGCGGCUUUUUGGUCUGUAACUGACGCUGAGGCGCGAAAGCGUGGGGAGCAAACAGGAUUAGAUACCCUGGUAGUCACGCCGUAAACGAUGAGUGCUAAGUGUUAGAGGGUUUCCGCCCUUUAGUGCUGCAGCUAACGCAUUAAGCACUCCGCCUGGGGAGUACGGUCGCAAGACUGAAACUCAAAUGAAUUGACGGGG